Molecule: ribosomal RNA, 743 nt
Filed under: uncultured bacterium
Lineage: Bacteria
Description: bacterial SSU rRNA
Rfam family: Bacterial small subunit ribosomal RNA
Source: RNAcentral
GCAGUCGAGGGGUAGCAGGAUCUAGCAAUAGAUUGCUGACGACCGGCGCACGGGUGAGUAACACGUAUCCAACCUGCCGAUAACUCGGGGAUAGCCUUUCGAAAGAAAGAUUAAUACCCGAUGGUAUAAUAAAACCGCAUGGUUUUGUUAUUAAAGAAUUUCGGUUAUCGAUGGGGAUGCGUUCCAUUAGGCAGUUGGUGAGGUAACGGCUCACCAAACCUUCGAUGGAUAGGGGUUCUGAGAGGAAGGUCCCCCACAUUGGAACUGAGACACGGUCCAAACUCCUACGGGAGGCAGCAGUGAGGAAUAUUGGUCAAUGGGCGUAGGCCUGAACCAGCCAAGUAGCGUGAAGGAUGACUGCCCUAUGGGUUGUAAACUUCUUUUAUAUGGGAAUAAAGUUUUCCACGUGUGGAAUUUUGUAUGUACCAUAUGAAUAAGGAUCGGCUAACUCCGUGCCAGCAGCCGCGGUAAUACGGAGGAUCCGAGCGUUAUCCGGAUUUAUUGGGUUUAAAGGGAGCGUAGGUGGACAGUUAAGUCAGUUGUGAAAGUUUGCGGCUCAACCGUAAAAUUGCAGUUGAUACUGGCUGUCUUGAGUACAGUAGAGGUGGGCGGAAUUCGUGGUGUAGCGGUGAAAUGCUUAGAUAUCACGAAGAACUCCGAUUGCGAAGGCAGCUCACUGGACUGCAACUGACACUGAUGCUCGAAAGUGUGGGUAUCAAACAGGAUUAGAUACCCUGGUAGUC